GAAUUCGCCCUUAGAGUUUGAUCUGGCUCAGGACGAACGCUGGCGGCGUGCUUAACACAUGCAAGUCGAGCGGUAAGGCCCUUUGUGGGUACACGAGCGGCGAACGGGUGAGUAACACGUGGGUAACCUGCCCUUAGCUCUGGGAUAAGCCUGGGAAACUGGGUCUAAUACCGGAUAUGACCUCAUGAUGCAUGUUGUGGGGUGGAAAGUUUUGGCGGCUAUGGAUGGGCCCGCGGCCUAUCAGCUUGUUGGUGGGGUGAUGGCCUACCAAGGCGACGACGGGUAGCCGGCCUGAGAGGGCGACCGGCCACACUGGGACUGAGACACGGCCCAGACUCCUACGGGAGGCAGCAGUGGGGAAUAUUGCGCAAUGGGCGAAAGCCUGACGCAGCGACGCCGCGUGAGGGAUGACGGCCUUCGGGUUGUAAACCUCUUUCAGCCCUGACGAAGCGGAAGUGACGGUAGGGGCAGAAGGAGCACCGGCCAACUACGUGCCAGCAGCCGCGGUAAUACGUAGGGUGCAAGCGUUGUCCGGAAUUAUUGGGCGUAAAGAGCUCGUAGGCGGUUUGUCGCGUCGGCUGUGAAAACUCGGGGCUUAACUUCGAGCUUGCAGUCGAUACGGGCAGGCUAGAGUUCGGCAGGGGAGACUGGAAUUCCUGGUGUAGCGGUGAAAUGCGCAGAUAUCAGGAGGAACACCGGUGGCGAAGGCGGGUCUCUGGGCCGAUACUGACGCUGAGGAGCGAAAGCGUGGGGAGCGAACAGGAUUAGAUACCCUGGUAGUCCACGCCGUAAACGUUGGGCGCUAGGUGUGGGAUCCCUUCCACGGGUUCCGUGCCGCAGCUAACGCAUUAAGCGCCCCGCCUGGGGAGUACGGCCGCAAGGCUAAAACUCAAAGGAAUUGACGGAAGGGCGAAUUC
RNAcentral lists this ribosomal RNA (917 nucleotides) under uncultured bacterium. RNAcentral describes it as "bacterial SSU rRNA". It matches the Rfam family "Bacterial small subunit ribosomal RNA", at positions 1 to 928 of the family's 1533-position model. The record is from RNAcentral.